UAGCGAGCGGCCGCCAAUUCCGACAUGGC
This 29-nucleotide small RNA is filed under the name Bombyx mori (domestic silkworm). RNAcentral's name for it is "ovarian small RNA-22415". The record is from RNAcentral. Lineage: Eukaryota; Metazoa; Arthropoda; Insecta; Lepidoptera; Bombycidae.